This 211-nucleotide small nucleolar RNA is filed under the name Amborella trichopoda. Its description in RNAcentral is "snoRNA Plant_U3". It matches the Rfam family "Plant small nucleolar RNA U3". Rfam says of the family: Small nucleolar RNAs (snoRNAs) are involved in the processing and modification of rRNA in the nucleolus. The record is from Rfam by way of RNAcentral. Lineage: Eukaryota; Viridiplantae; Streptophyta; Magnoliopsida; Amborellales; Amborellaceae.
GCGGCCUUACUUGAAUAGGAUCCGUUCUAUAGGUUGUACAUGUUACUGUUGACACAACAAAGGCACACACAACAAUGUGGAAGAUGGUACAGCGCCACACGGCCAAAGUGCGAAUACAGGAUGUGGGAUCCACAGUGCUCUAUCAACCGUAGAGGAUCGCUCUCAUCAAAACAACGGCUGAUGGGACGGCCGUGUGGCAGUCUGACAUAUU